RNAcentral lists this long non-coding RNA (1681 nucleotides) under Zea mays. Its description in RNAcentral is "long non-coding RNA (ZMAY_LNC000273)". The record is from RNAcentral. Lineage: Eukaryota; Viridiplantae; Streptophyta; Magnoliopsida; Poales; Poaceae.
CCAGCCCCAGCUCCCGGCUCCAGCUCGUCCGCGUCGUCUGGCGCAGUGCUUGCCCCAGCGCCAUCAGUCUUCUAUCCAGCUUCAACCCCACCGUCGGUCUCUAGUUCGUCAUGGCGCUGAAUUUCUUCCUCGUGUCAUCCCUGCUCCUCGCGCGUUGGGCACCGGGAGACUCUCCCUGCUUGGUCUGGCGUGGGCUGUAGCUGCAUGACAAAAGCGCCCCUGUUUUCUGCUCGCCAACCAUGCUCGCUUUACGUCCACCUCGUCGUGUGUCGUCGUGGGCUCAUCGGCAACUCUGGCCAACUAACAGUACCAGCCUCCCUGGCGUUCGUCUCUUCGUCGCGCCUGUAUAGCCCCAGUUGCGACACCAUGCACUCUUCUGGUUGUUGACGUCGUUCCUCGCAUCCCGCCUAUUCGAUGAAACGCCCAAAUCCAUAGACUGUCGACGCACUGCUGCCAUACGCGGUUGUCUCCGUCACUUGCGUCAGCUCGCCAGACCUGCAGCUCUAUACGUCACCCUCUUGUAUCGUCGUCGAGCUCGUCGAACCCCUUCCUUCCCUGCUCGACCUCGACGAACCCCGGUGAGGACCCGCUGUCUCCUUAUGAUUAUUUUUCGUUAGUAUUUGUACCCGGCGUCGAUUUAUUCGAUGCUAAUCAAUUGUAUGUUUAUGUGUGCUUGUGAGGAUAGAAUCCCGGAUGUUACGAAAACGCAAGCGAAGUUCGGGUGACGCUUGUGUGUCCGAUAGAAAGAUCGAAGUCAAAACAAUUGAUGUGUUCGCGCCGACAAAAGAAUCCCAAGAUGAUGUGGAGAAACAAGCCCCAGGUCGAUGCCCCCAAGUGCUCGGCAAAAGGCCUGAACAAGGAUCAUCGUCGUUUAUUCGGAUUGCUAGUCGAUAUGGUAAUCGUACUCUGAUUCGCUAUUCUAGUUAAUUAAUUUGAUAGAUGGAGGAGAAGAAUAUGUUAAUAGAAUUGUAGGCAUGGUUGAUUCGAUUAAAAAUAUUCUAUCUGCUAGGUCAUAGAAUAAUGUGAUGUUCAUGUAUUUGGCAUGAUAUGCAAAUUAAUCUGGAUAAAUAGUUUAGAAAGUUAGUUAAUAUGCUCCCUUACUCUAAAUUGUCGGUAUUCAAAAAUAGUGAAUAAAAAUGUGACGAGUAAUUUGAUAUUGGGUGUUUUGACAAAAGACUUGUGCUUAGCUUAUUAUUACUUAAUGUUUGAAGUAGAUGUGAUUACGCUAGAAAAAUGUGAUAAUUGGGUGUAGUCGUAUAUCGGUAUCUAGUGUUUAUGUAUUCUAGUUUGUGAUGCCUGACCAUAAGUAUUAAUCCUUUUUGGUAUAGCAAUAAUUAGUUAUGUACUAUUUCUUGGUAUUCAUACAUGUGCAUAAUGCAUUUCAUUUAUGUACGAUAAUUAAUCUCGUGAUGCGGAAGACGAGCCAAGUUGACCUCAAGAUGGUGUAAGGAGUGGUCUUCUUCGCACAACGAUAUCGUCAGUCGGACGAACCUGAAGAUGGAUAAACUAAACGAGUGCCAAGACAAAGGAUGCUCGCCAAGUGGUCACCACUUAACCAACAGUAACCUAGUGUUAUCCAGGCAAGCCCCGGUGCAUUUGCCACCUCCUUGUUGUUUUACUAGUCGGUUGCCUGUGCGUUGCGACGGCUUACAACAAUACCCACGUAAACUAUCAAUCAAAA